CAGCUUUAGAGACUUCAUGAUCUGAUGCGUCCGAUAAUGCUGCUAAAGCCGAAUGAUCCAGGCGAGCGGCCAUGAGCUUCCAUUCUUCUGGACAACGAGGAAUCUCACCUUUCCUUCUGUCACUACUUUAUUCCAUUGUGUGUAAUGUCAGAGAAACCUGCCAUAUACAAUAAUUAGAGAUGAGCGAAGUUUACAAAAAUUCGAUUCGGCUGCUUCGCCGAA
Long non-coding RNA from Bufo bufo (common toad), 222 nucleotides. RefSeq lists it as uncharacterized. The transcript is spliced from 2 exons. The record is from RefSeq and is a predicted model, not a curated record. NCBI's taxonomy places the organism in Eukaryota, Metazoa, Chordata, Amphibia, Anura, Bufonidae.